Molecule: long non-coding RNA, 737 nt
Filed under: Polistes fuscatus (common paper wasp)
Lineage: Eukaryota; Metazoa; Arthropoda; Insecta; Hymenoptera; Vespidae
Description: uncharacterized LOC122522561, transcript variant X2
Source: RNAcentral
CAAGCGAUGUUUCGCAUCUAGUCUACUCUACUCUACUCUACUAUCAUCUAACCUACGUGCGAUUACCAUUGUGUGAACGAUCCAACGCGUAUACUACGUGGGGCUACGACUAAACCAGAGGAGAUCGGAGUAUCCGGAGAAGAUCGAGAAAUGGAGCUGUCGCGGCCCCGGAAACUCGGAAGCUUACGAAAGGAGAAGCUGGAGAAGAAGGAGAAGGAGCAGUAAGAGGAGAGUUUUCACCUUCCUGUCCGCUCCACCGGUGGCCAGGAUUCUGUCGACUGGAGACCAUUUUACAGCGUACACUUCUCCCUCGUGAGCAUUCUGGAAGGGUUAUAAAUACUUGGCGUAUAAAUUUUAAAGAAUUCAUGCAUACAUUACGCACGAAUAAACGUUAAACUAACAAAAACAAAAACAAAUAACGGAGUGGGGGUAGGGGGGAUUCUUUUUCGAAACAAAUUCUUUCUAUUCGGUCGAGUCAAACGUGGAAAAUUAAAAACUUCUACCUUUUGUUUUGCAAUCUACAUUCCGCCAUAAUAACGAGUAAGUUGAUGUAAUUGUUAAAAAUAAUAUAUUCGUUUGAAUCCUACUGAAAUUUUUCGUUAAAAAAAAACAAUAUAAUAAUUAAAACUUUACAAAUAUUAAAGAAAAUAUGGCGGAAAUUUUUAAUUCGACACAAUUAAGUUUCAUUAAGUACUGAUAAUUAUUUCUAAUUUGUUCCAAUUAAAAUACGUAAAAUG